RNAcentral lists this ribosomal RNA (253 nucleotides) under uncultured bacterium. RNAcentral describes it as "partial 16S ribosomal RNA". It matches the Rfam family "Bacterial small subunit ribosomal RNA", at positions 524 to 776 of the family's 1533-position model. The record is from RNAcentral.
UACGGAGGGUGCAAGCGUUAUCCGGAUUCACUGGGUUUAAAGGGUGCGUAGGCGGGCAGGUAAGUCCGUGGUGAAAUCUCUGAGCUUAACUCAGAAACUGCCAUGGAUACUAUUUGUCUUGAAUAUUGUGGAGGUAAGCGGAAUAUGUCAUGUAGCGGUGAAAUGCUUAGAUAUGACAUAGAACACCAAUUGCGAAGGCAGCUGGCUACACAAAUAUUGACGCUGAGGCACGAAAGCGUGGGGAUCAAACAGG